Molecule: ribosomal RNA, 615 nt
Filed under: uncultured bacterium
Lineage: Bacteria
Description: bacterial SSU rRNA
Rfam family: Bacterial small subunit ribosomal RNA
Source: RNAcentral
CCUACGGGAGGCAGCAGUGGGGAAUUUUGGACAAUGGGCGAAAGCCUGAUCCAGCAAUGCCGCGUGAGUGAAGAAGGCCUUCGGGUUGUAAAGCUCUUUUGUCAGGGAAGAAACGGUGAGGGCUAAUAUCUCUUGCUAAUGACGGUACCUGAAGAAUAAGCACCGGCUAACUACGUGCCAGCAGCCGCGGUAAUACGUAGGGUGCAAGCGUUAAUCGGAAUUACUGGGCGUAAAGCGUGCGCAGGCGGUUUUGUAAGUCUGUCGUGAAAUCCCCGGGCUCAACCUGGGAAUUGCGAUGGAGACUGCAAGGCUAGAAUCUGGCAGAGGGGGGUAGAAUUCCACGUGUAGCAGUGAAAUGCGUAGAGAUGUGGAGGAACACCGAUGGCGAAGGCAGCCCCCUGGGUCAAGAUUGACGCUCAUGCACGAAAGCGUGGGGAGCAAACAGGAUUAGAUACCCUGGUAGUCCACGCCCUAAACGAUGUCUACUAGUUGUCGGGUUUUAAUUAACUUGGUAACGCAGCUAACGCGUGAAGUAGACCGCCUGGGGAGUACGGUCGCAGAUUAAAACUUCAAAUUGAAUUGAGGCUUGAGACGNGCGAGNGACACGAGGAGAGG